Molecule: unclassified non-coding RNA, 3045 nt
Filed under: Hevea brasiliensis (rubber tree)
Lineage: Eukaryota; Viridiplantae; Streptophyta; Magnoliopsida; Malpighiales; Euphorbiaceae
Source: RNAcentral
CAAAAGUUGAAGCUAGGCAGAACAAUGCCCUUACAGUUCAGGAUCUAAAGAUUCUUAACCCUUCUGAUUUUCCUGAGAGUCUAUUCGAGGACUCAUAAGACAAAAUUGCCAGGUAAAGUUGUCCCUUAUGACACCCAUAUAAAUGUAUGACAUGUGCUAAAAUUGCUAUAAAGACAACCUGAGCACCUUCAGCUACCAGUCCAAUCAAUAACCAAAAUUAAAAAACAUGUAUUCUUGCAAAUCAAGUGAAUAGCAAGGAUUCAGUUUAUGAUAAUCCAUCGAUGAUGCAUGUGGGAAACCAAUUACCAAUGGAGUUGCAGAAUAGUGGAUACGAUACAUCAAUUACAGAAAUUAAAAAGGUAUUUAUGGCUUUGAAGACCAAGAAGGCAAUUACAGAAGUCAAAAAGUGUCCAUGUCGCUGAGGAUGAAGAAUUUGAAUCAUUCUAGAUCAAUUAUCCCGAAAUUGGAGAGAAGGAUCUUUACUUGAUCAACAAAGUCUGAGCCUGUAGCAUACUCUGUUAGCAUCCCAACAGCAAAACCAAACAUUGCCCAUCUGUUUGGCCACAAAAAAAGGACACAUCAAAUCAAAAGGGCUUAUUAUGCUCGUCAAACUAUUGCUCAACAUAAGCUAACUUAAUCUAAGAAUGUGAAAUUCAGCAAAGCUAAACAAGUAGCUAAGAGAGGAACUACGAAGAUUUACUUUAGGAUACAAGGCGAUUGAUCAUAAAAUGUUCAUUAUAUAAAAAUCCUCAACUGCAUUUCAUGGCAGAUUCUUACCUAUCCAGUCCAAAUAUAGAAACAUUCAAUUCUCAUAUUUUAGAAGAAGCAAAAUGAUGUGCCAGAGUGAAUUUCUUUUAUUACAAAAAAUGACUUUAUUUAUGUCAGUAGAUGACCAAUUGUUACUGCUUCGCAUAAACCUCACAAAGAAUUUAUGUUCUAACUUUACAACCACAUGCAGAAACUACUAUAAAUCUUUAUGAUAGAAUAGGGUUCCUACCACCCUGGUAGUACAAUGGAUGGUAAUAUCACUUUAGUUUCUCUUGAGGACAAACAAUGAUCAUGACAGCAUCCAAAGUCAUUAGGAAUUACUUCCUCGCUUUGGACUUCACUUAGAAGAGGAUGGGCAACCAGACAAUUUGGUUGAUGUUCUUAGAAUUCAUCUUCACUUUGAAUCAUUUAUCCCAACAAUGGAUUUAAGCUAUGUAGGACAUCCAUCACUAAUGAAACAAUGCAAAAAGGCAACACAGAUUAAAUAAUUGCAAAAAAUUCACGCCACGACGGGGAAGCCAUAAAUUAAUCAGCUAUUAGAAACAACAUGUUGGUUUAAAUUUCUAAAUUUAAUCCAUUACUGUGCAUUCAAUCAUAAAGCUUUGUCCAUUAUUGAAAUAUAUCCUGGUUCUGGCACAGAUAAUUGCAAAGGAAAUAACCAAUCAAAUUCAGUCUCCCUGUUGACCCAUCUGAGUUCAAUCUUAAAAGGUUAGAAUCCUAAAACAGAGGUUUCCUUACAGAAGACCCAAAUCAGGAAGUCAGAGUCCGCUAUCCUUUCAGAAAGUAAUGUAUUUUUGUUAGUCCAUAACUCAAAUACUAAAGGGUUUGAGGAGCACAACUGCUAUACUUCUAGGAUUUUUAUAAUGGCGUAUUGCUGCCUCGAGAGUCACUAACAGUUACUAAGAGAGGAAUAAAGCCUAGAAAAGAACAGCAAUGGAAUGAGAUGGUAGCAGGAGGAAAGAGCAAACUGCUGCCAUGCAGAAGGUACAUAAAAGGGUGCAAAAUGCAAAUUGCCCCAAAAGAGAAGGAGGAGAACAAAAGUGAGGUGAGGUUUGGGAGCUGCCUGCCACUAAUUACAUUGAUAUCUAGUGGACAAUGGUUAGGGGACGCAAUGUCUAAAAUUGAGUAGAAAAAAGUUUUUGAGUUCAUGAAUAAGUUUCAGGAUUGCUUCCUAGGGCUUAGGAUUUUGGUUGAAACUAGCUGUGCUGGUACAUAUUAUGGCAGAGCUCAUAUCAAUUGUUUUCCUUCUAUUUUGUGAAUCACACAAAUCGAAGGAGAAGCAAUUCAAUUUUAACAAUUAAAAUAUGAGAAAAAAAAAUACCAAAAGCCCCAAAAUCCACAAUAAAUCUUAGCUUAGCUAAGCUCAAUCCAACUAAUUAAUCCACAUAAACCCAGAUAACAAAACUUGAUUUUAAAUGGUAUUACCUCCCAUUUGCAAUCUCAUUCUUGCUAAGGAAUCCAAAGAAAGGACCCUGAUCUGACUCCUCAAGUUUCUUUUGCUUAAAAUACUCCUGAAGCUCCUUAGCCUUUUGCCUCUGAAACUCUAAGGUGAUCACAUUCUUAUCAUCCAAAGCCACCUGAGCAGCCGGCUUGGGUGGUGGAACCACAGGAGAAGAUGGUGAAGAGGGAGGCAUAGGCUUCAAGGCAGGUGAGGGAGUUGGUGGAGAGGGUUCUCUAAGAGGAGGGGCAACAGGUCUCCUUACGGGCCCUUCAGCUUGAGAGCUCCUGAUGGUCAAAGAACAAGGCUUUGUUAGUGUGGAAAAUCUAAAACAAUAGGAGGUGGAAGUUGUUGAUGAAGAGGAAGAUGGAGGAGAGGAGCAUGAUGAUGAUGAUGAUGAUGGGUUUGGGAUUCUUAUGCAAGGUAUUGAGGAGGCCACUGACAUCUUCCUCUUUCUUUCUCAAGUCCCUGUAGCUAUAGAUUUCUUGUUGGUGGGUUUUGGGUACGCGGGCGUGCUAUCAGAAUCAGAAGAUAUGUGUGUGGAAGAGGUGUGGCCAAGUCCCCAGCGGCGAAGAUGGUACCAGUUGGCUUGCCGAUUAGAGGAGAGAUGAUUUUGGCGCCUCACGUCCAGUCAAAGCGUGUGAAUUUUUGUUUUUGUCGAAAGCGUGUGAAGUUUAAACACUAAAAUUUGUGAAAGGUAAUUAAUGUUUGUGUCUGACGCGCAAUAAAUGCGAGUGGAAAUAGCAUUCCCUCCCAUCCCCUUCAAUUUGGGUCCUAAAUUGACUACGAAACAAUGCAAGUGUUCCUGGAACGAGCACUUCAGAGAACGGUUCCUGGAU